GGGCAGUGAGCAGAGUGGUCCCUGCAGAUGAUCUCACAGCCCUUGGCCUGGAUUCUGAGCCCAGCACCACCAGCCUUCCCCACCCCUCUCCUCACAGGGCUCUGUGGUAUAUGACUGCUUCGAGGCUGCCCUAGGGAGUGAGGUACGAAUCUGGUCCUAUACUCAGCCCAGGUACGAGAAGGAACUCAACCUCACACAGCAGCUGCCUGCCCUGCCCUGGCUCAACGUGUCAGCAGAUGGUGACAACGUGCAUCUUGUUCUGAAUGUCUCUGAGGAGCAGCACUUCGGCCUCUCCCUGUACUGGAAUCAGGUCCAGGGCCCCCCAAAACCCCGGUGGCACAAAAACCUGGUGAGGCCUCCCCCUUCCCAAGUCCAUUCCCACUGUAGGCCGAUGCCUGUGCAAAGGACGCAGUGCCUUAUCAAAGAAGACCCUUGAAGAGGACUCACCCCAAGCAAGGGAACACUGGUGGGGGAACUUCUGCCUUCCUGGUUUCCUUGACUUUGGCCUCCUUCUCUUCCUCCUUAUCUUCUCCAACCUCCUUCCUUUAUUUGUUCCACAGACUGGACCGCAAAUCAUUACCUUGAACCACACAGACC
This 597-nucleotide small RNA is filed under the name Pongo abelii (Sumatran orangutan). Its description in RNAcentral is "retained intron". Lineage: Eukaryota; Metazoa; Chordata; Mammalia; Primates; Hominidae. The record is from RNAcentral.